Molecule: long non-coding RNA, 429 nt
Organism: Patella vulgata (common limpet)
Lineage: Eukaryota; Metazoa; Mollusca; Gastropoda; Patellidae
Exons: 4
Source: RefSeq, a predicted model, not a curated record
GAGGAAAUGGAACGUCAAAAAGAACCAGUUUCGUCAAUACAGUCGUCGAUAACAUCGUCAUUGUUACAAUUGUCUUCUAAAGUAGAAAGAGUGACAUGUUUUCCCAACUUUUUUCAGUGUCCAAUAUAGUUACAGGAUGGACCAUGUCUUCUAAUAAAUUAACGUGAUCUAAGACUGGAGGCCUUGGCUGUAUAACUUUUCCAACUCCCAAUGUGUCUAAAUAAGAAGGUAUUGUGGGAACAGUGUUCAGAUAUAAUCCUAAUAAUUUGUCCGGAUCGUUCACACCAUAAUGGAAAGAGAGACAUGCAUAAAGAUGCUUGCAGAAAUAUGGCUGACCACGAAUAAUAAAAUAGAGACAUGUACAGGAACCGAAAAGAGGACUUCUGAUGUAAAUGUUGAUUGCCACAUAUUACUCUGAAACCAGAGGUC